Molecule: ribosomal RNA, 361 nt
Filed under: uncultured bacterium
Lineage: Bacteria
Description: bacterial SSU rRNA
Rfam family: Bacterial small subunit ribosomal RNA
Source: RNAcentral
AACGAACGCUGGCGGCAGGCCUAACACAUGCAAGUCGAACGCCCGUAGCAAUACGGGAGUGGCAGACGGGUGAGUAACGCGUGGGAACGUGCCCUUCGGUUUGGAAUAACUCAGGGAACUUGAGCUAAUACCAAAUACGUCCGUAAGGAGAAAGAUUUAUCGCCGAAGGAUCGGCCCGCGUCGGAUUAGCUAGUUGGUGAGGUAACGGCCCACCAAGGCGACGAUCCGUAGCUGGUCUGAGAGGAUGAUCAGCCACACUGGGACUGAGACACGGCCCAGACUCCUACGGGAGGCAGCAGUGGGGAAUAUUGGACAAUGGGCGAAAGCCUGAUCCAGCCAUGCCGCGUGAGUGAAGAAGGCC